CCUACGGGAGGCAGCAGUAGGGAAUCUUCCACAAUGGGCGAAAGCCUGAUGGAGCAACGCCGCGUGGGUGAAGAAGGUCUUCGGAUCGUAAAACCCUGUUGUUAGAGAAGAAAGUGCGUGAGAGUAACUGUUCACGUUUCGACGGUAUCUAACCAGAAAGCCACGGCUAACUACGUGCCAGCAGCCGCGGUAAUACGUAGGUGGCAAGCGUUAUCCGGAUUUAUGGGGCGUAAAGGGAACGCAGGCGGUCUGUUAAGUCUGAUGUGAAAGCCUUCGGCUUAACCGGAGUAGUGCAUUGGAAACGGGGAGACUUGAGUGCAGAAGAGGAGAGUGGAACUCCAUGUGUAGCGGUGAAAUGCGUAGAUAUAUGGAAGAACACCAGUGGCGAAAGCGGCUCUCUGGUCUGUAACUGACGCUGAGGUUCGAAAGCGUGGGUAGCAAACAGGAUUAGAUACCCGUGUAGUC
This 465-nucleotide ribosomal RNA is filed under the name uncultured bacterium. RNAcentral describes it as "partial 16S ribosomal RNA". It matches the Rfam family "Bacterial small subunit ribosomal RNA", at positions 338 to 795 of the family's 1533-position model. The record is from RNAcentral.